Molecule: ribosomal RNA, 985 nt
Filed under: uncultured prokaryote
Description: bacterial SSU rRNA
Rfam family: Bacterial small subunit ribosomal RNA
Source: RNAcentral
CGCUAUCUGCAGUCGAGCGACUGAUUAGAAGCUUGCUUCUAUGACGUUAGCGGGGGACGGGUGAGUAACACGUGGGCAACCUGCCUGUAAGACUGGGAUAACUUCGGGAAACCGAAGCUAAUACCGGAUAGGAUCUUCUCCUUCAUGGGAGAUGAUUGAAAGAUGGUUUCGGCUAUCACUUACAGAUGGGCCCGCGGUGCAUUAGCUAGUUGGUGAGGUAACGGCUCACCAAGGCAACGAUGCAUAGCCGACCUGAGAGGGUGAUCGGCCACACUGGGACUGAGACACGGCCCAGACUCCUACGGGAGGCAGCAGUAGGGAAUCUUCCGCAAUGGACGAAAGUCUGACGGAGCAACGCCGCGUGAGUGAUGAAGGCUUUCGGGUCGUAAAACUCUGUUGUUAGGGAAGAACAAGUACGAGAGUAACUGCUCGUACCUUGACGGUACCUAACCAGAAAGCCACGGCUAACUACGUGCCAGCAGCCGCGGUAAUACGUAGGUGGCAAGCGUUAUCCGGAAUUAUUGGGCGUAAAGCGCGCGCAGGCGGUUUCUUAAGUCUGAUGUGAAAGCCCACGGCUCAACCGUGGAGGGUCAUUGGAAACUGGGGAACUUGAGUGCAGAAGAGAAAAGCGGAAUUCCACGUGUAGCGGUGAAAUGCGUAGAGAUGUGGAGGAACACCAGUGGCGAAGGCGGCUUUUUGGUCUGUAACUGACGCUGAGGCGCGAAAGCGUGGGGAGCAAACAGGAUUAGAUUACGCCUGGUAGUCCACGCCGUAAACGAUGAGUGCUAAGUGUUAGAGGGUCUCCCGCCGUCUAGUGCUGCAGCUAACGCAUUAAUCACUCCGCCUGGGGGAGUACGGACCGCAAGACUGAAACUCAAAAGAAAUUGACAGGGGGCCCGCACAACCGGUGCAGCCUGUGAUUUAAUUCUAAGCACGCGAAAGAACAUUACCAGGCCUUGACAUCCUCUAACACUCUAGAGAUAUA